This 738-nucleotide ribosomal RNA is filed under the name uncultured bacterium. Its description in RNAcentral is "bacterial SSU rRNA". It matches the Rfam family "Bacterial small subunit ribosomal RNA", at positions 771 to 1501 of the family's 1533-position model. The record is from RNAcentral.
AACAGGAUUAGAUACCCUGGUAGUCCACGCCGUAAACGGUGGGCGCUAGGUGUGGGGACUGGUUCCACGGUUUCCGUGCCGUAGCUAACGCAUUAAGCGCCCCGCCUGGGGAGUACGGCCGCAAGGCUAAAACUCAAAGGAAUUGACGGGGGUCCGCACAAGCGGCGGAGCAUGUGGAUUAAUUCGAUGCAACGCGAAGAACCUUACCUGGGUUUGACAUGCACUGGAUCGCCCUAGAGAUAGGGUUUCCCUUGUGGCUGGUGCACAGGUGGUGCAUGGCUGUCGUCAGCUCGUGUCGUGAGAUGUUGGGUUAAGUCCCGCAACGAGCGCAACCCUUGCCCCAUGUUGCCAGCGGUUCGGCCGGGGACUCGUGGGGGACUGCCGGGGUCAACUCGGAGGAAGGUGGGGAUGACGUCAAGUCAUCAUGCCCCUUAUGCCCAGGGCUUCACACAUGCUACAAUGGCCGGUACAGAGGGUGGCGAGACCGUGAGGUGGAGCGAAUCCCAGAAAGCCGGUCUCAGUUCGGAUCGGGGUCUGCAACUCGACCCCGUGAAGUCGGAGUCGCUAGUAAUCGCAGAUCAGCAAUGCUGCGGUGAAUACGUUCCCGGGCCUUGUACACACCGCCCGUCACGUCAUGAAAGUCGGUAACACCCGAAGCCCAUGGCCCAACCCCCGUUUGGGGGAGGGAGUGGUCGAAGGUGGGACUGGCGAUUGGGACGAAGUCGUAACAAGGUAACC